Molecule: unclassified non-coding RNA, 202 nt
Filed under: Hevea brasiliensis (rubber tree)
Lineage: Eukaryota; Viridiplantae; Streptophyta; Magnoliopsida; Malpighiales; Euphorbiaceae
Source: RNAcentral
AAUCACCUUACCAUUAGUACUCAGAUUUGGCUCAAACGUCGACCAACUAAUGCCGACAGUACAGUCUAUAACUGAAUCAUAAGUCUUUCCAGACGGGCUCUUCAAGCUGGCCCCUUCGGGGGUCUGGUAGUCGAGCACCUCAUCAGCACCCAUAUCCUUCACAAAGUCUAUGUUUCGGGCUCCGCAUGUGGCCGUCACAUGA